AAUGGGUCAGCGACUUAUAUUCUGUAGCAAGGUUAACCGAAUAGGGGAGCCGAAGGGAAACCGAGUCUUAACUGGGCGUUAAGUUGCAGGGUAUAGACCCGAAACCCGGUGAUCUAGCCAUGGGCAGGUUGAAGGUUGGGUAACACUAACUGGAGGACCGAACCGACUAAUGUUGAAAAAUUAGCGGAUGACUUGUGGCUGGGGGUGAAAGGCCAAUCAAACCGGGAGAUAGCUGGUUCUCCCCGAAAGCUAUUUAGGUAGCGCCUCGUGAAUUCAUCUCCGGGGGUAGAGCACUGUUUCGGCAAGGGGGUCAUCCCGACUUACCAACCCGAUGCAAACUGCGAAUACCGGAGAAUGUUAUCACGGGAGACACACGGCGGGUGCUAACGUCCGUCGUGAAGAGGGAAACAACCCAGACCGCCAGCUAAGGUCCCAAAGUCAUGGUUAAGUGGGAAACGAUGUGGGAAGGCCCAGACAGCCAGGAUGUUGGCUUAGAAGCAGCCAUCAUUUAAAGAAAGCGUAAUAGCUCACUGGUCGAGUCGGCCUGCGCGGAAGAUGUAACGGGGCUAAACCAUGCACCGAAGCUGCGGCAGCGACACUAUGUGUUGUUGGGUAGGGGAGCGUUCUGUAAGCCUGUGAAGGUGUACUGUGAGGUAUGCUGGAGGUAUCAGAAGUGCGAAUGCUGACAUAAGUAACGAUAAAGCGGGUGAAAAGCCCGCUCGCCGGAAGACCAAGGGUUCCUGUCCAACGUUAAUCGGGGCAGGGUGAGUCGACCCCUAAGGCGAGGCCGAAAGGCGUAGUCGAUGGGAAACAGGUUAAUAUUCCUGUACUUGGUGUUACUGCGAAGGGGGGACGGAGAAGGCUA
Molecule: ribosomal RNA, 865 nt
Filed under: Escherichia coli
Lineage: Bacteria; Pseudomonadati; Pseudomonadota; Gammaproteobacteria; Enterobacterales; Enterobacteriaceae
Description: partial 23S ribosomal RNA
Rfam family: Bacterial large subunit ribosomal RNA
Source: RNAcentral